UUGACCUCGGAUCAGGUAGGAAUACGCGCUGAACUUAAGCAUAUCAAUAAGCGGAG
Molecule: non-coding RNA, 56 nt
Filed under: Cladophialophora sp. 99003e
Lineage: Eukaryota; Fungi; Ascomycota; Eurotiomycetes; Chaetothyriales; Herpotrichiellaceae
Also listed under: 1 other name
Source: RNAcentral